GACGAACGCUGGCGGCGUGCUUAACACAUGCAAGUCGAACGGAAAGGCCCUGCUUUUGUGGGGUGCUCGAGUGGCGAACGGGUGAGUAACACGUGAGUAACCUGCCCUUGACUUUGGGAUAACUUCAGGAAACUGGGGCUAAUACCGGAUAGGAGCUCCUGCUGCAUGGUGGGGGUUGGAAAGUUUCGGCGGUUGGGGAUGGACUCGCGGCUUAUCAGCUUGUUGGUGGGGUAGUGGCUUACCAAGGCUUUGACGGGUAGCCAGCCUGAGAGGGUGACCGGCCACAUUGGGACUGAGAUACGGCCCAGACUCCUACGGGAGGCAGCAGGGGGGAAUAUUGCACAAUGGGCGGAAGCCUGAUGCAGCAACGCCGCGUGCGGGAUGACGGCCUUCGGGUUGUAAACCGCUUUCGCCUGUGACGAAGCGUGAGUGACGGUAAUGGGUAAAGAAGCACCGGCUAACUACGUG
RNAcentral lists this ribosomal RNA (468 nucleotides) under uncultured bacterium. RNAcentral's name for it is "partial 16S ribosomal RNA". It matches the Rfam family "Bacterial small subunit ribosomal RNA", at positions 28 to 507 of the family's 1533-position model. The record is from RNAcentral.